This is a long non-coding RNA of Corvus hawaiiensis (hawaiian crow), 258 nucleotides long. RefSeq lists it as uncharacterized. NCBI's taxonomy places the organism in Eukaryota, Metazoa, Chordata, Aves, Passeriformes, Corvidae. The transcript has 2 exons. The record is from RefSeq and is a predicted model, not a curated record.
GCGGACGCGGCUCUCGGGAUAACAGCGGGCGCACGCGGCGAGCGCUCAGUGAGCGGCGAGGCGGCGGCGGGUAGCCCUGCCUGGCCGGUGAGAGCCGCGGCCCCGCCGUGGGCUGGGCUGAUACUUCCAUGGCGAUCCCUUCCCCGGAGGAGCUGUGAAGAGCACGGGAAUGCCGUGAUGGACGGCGAGACGGGAGUCACAGCUGAAAACGAUUCGUGUUUGUAUUUUGGUGCGCAAUAAAAGAUUUAAUGCUUAAAA